UGGAUACAUUAGAUACAGAGAAAUUUGUCUGGGAGAAAAGGUCAACAGUUGGGAGGAAUUAAGGAGUUCACUUGAUGAAGUUCAAAUUGAGAAACUACGUAGAAUCUACACAAGCGUAGAGGAUAUUGAUCUUUAUGUUUAAGGAGUUCACUUGAUGAAGUUCAAAUUGAGGAACUACGUAAAAUCUACACAAGCGUAGAGGAUAUUGAUCUUUAUGUUUAAGGAGUUCACUUGAUGAAGUU
This is a long non-coding RNA of Eurytemora carolleeae, 242 nucleotides long. RefSeq lists it as uncharacterized. NCBI's taxonomy places the organism in Eukaryota, Metazoa, Arthropoda, Copepoda, Calanoida, Temoridae. The record is from RefSeq and is a predicted model, not a curated record. The transcript has 3 exons.